CGCGGGGUGGAGCAGUCUGGUAGCUCGUCGGGCUCAUAACCCGAAGGUCGAGGGUUCAAAUCCCUCCCCCGCUA
Molecule: transfer RNA, 74 nt
Filed under: Deltaproteobacteria bacterium
Lineage: Bacteria; Pseudomonadati; Myxococcota; Myxococcia
Also listed under: 1 other name
Description: tRNA-Met
Rfam family: tRNA
About the family: Transfer RNA (tRNA) molecules are approximately 80 nucleotides in length. Their secondary structure includes four short double-helical elements and three loops (D, anti-codon, and T loops).
Source: RNAcentral